Molecule: ribosomal RNA, 497 nt
Filed under: uncultured bacterium
Lineage: Bacteria
Description: partial 16S ribosomal RNA
Rfam family: Bacterial small subunit ribosomal RNA
Source: RNAcentral
GACGAACGCUGGCGGCGUGCCUAAUACAUGCAAGUUGAGCGCUGAAGGUUGGUACUUGUACCAACUGGAUGAGCAGCAAACGGGUGAGUAACGCGUGGGGAAUCUGCCUUUGAGCGGGGGACAACAUUUGGAAGCGAAUGCUAAUACCGCAUAAAAACUUUAAACACAAGUUUUAAGUUUGAAAGAUGCAAUUGCAUCACUCAAAGAUGAUCCCGCGUUGUAUUAGCUAGUUGGUGAGGUAAAGGCUCACCAAGGCGAUGAUACAUAGCCGACCUGAGAGGGUGAUCGGCCACAUUGGGACUGAGACACGGCCCAAACUCCUACGGGAGGCAGCAGUAGGGAAUCUUCGGCAAUAGACGAAAGUCUGACCGAGCAACGCCGCGUGAGUGAUGAAGGUUUUCGGAUCGUAAAACUCUGUUGGUAGAGAAGAACGUUGGUGAGAGUGGAAAGCUCAUCAAGUGACGGUAACUACCCAGAAAGGGACGGCUAACUACGUG